Molecule: ribosomal RNA, 440 nt
Filed under: uncultured bacterium
Lineage: Bacteria
Description: partial 16S ribosomal RNA
Rfam family: Bacterial small subunit ribosomal RNA
Source: RNAcentral
CCUACGGGAGGCAGCAGUGGGGGAUAUUGCACAAUGGGGGGAACCCUGAUGCAGCGACGCCGCGUGGGUGAAGAAGCGCCUCGGCGCGUAAAGCCCUGUCAGCAGGGAAGAAAAUGACGGUACCUGAAGAAGAAGCCCCGGCGAACUCCGUGCCAGCAGCCGCGGUAAUCCGGCGGGUGCAAGCGUUAUCCGGAGUGACUGGGUGUAAAGGGGGCGCAGACGGCGGUGCAAGCCAGGGGUGAAAGCCCGGGGCCCAACCCCGGGACUGCUCUUGGGACUGCGUGGCUGGAGUGCAGGAGGGGCAGGCGGAAUUCCUGGUGUAGCGGUGAAAUGCGUAGAUAUCAGGAGGAACACCGAUGGCGAAGGCGGCCUGCUGGACUGCAACUGACGUUGAGGCCCGAAAGCGUGGGGAGCAAACAGGAUUAGAUACCCUUGUAGUC